AACAUUGGACAAUGGGCGAAAGCCCGAUCCAGCCAUGCAGCGUGUGUGCAGAAGGGCUGCGGGUUGUAAAUCACUUUAUGUUGGGAGGAAGGGAAGUAAGUGAAUACCUGGCUGUUUUCACGUUACCGACAGUAUAAGCACCGGCGCACUUCCUGCCAUGAGCCGCGCUAAUACGAAGGGUGCAAGCGUUAAUCGGAAUUACUGGGCGUAAAGGGCGUGUAGGUGGUUAGUUAAGUUGGAAGUGAAAGCCCCGGGCUCAACCUGGGAACUGCUUUCAAAACUGGCAAGCUAGAGUAUGGCAGAGGGUGGUGGAAUUUCCUGUGUAGCGGUGAAAUGCGUAGAUAUAGGGAGGAACACCAGUGGCGAAGGCGACCACCUGGGCUAAUACUGACACUGAGGUGCGAAAGCGUGGGGAGCAAACA
This 422-nucleotide ribosomal RNA is filed under the name uncultured bacterium. RNAcentral's name for it is "partial 16S ribosomal RNA". It matches the Rfam family "Bacterial small subunit ribosomal RNA", at positions 360 to 774 of the family's 1533-position model. The record is from RNAcentral.